RNAcentral lists this unclassified non-coding RNA (353 nucleotides) under soil metagenome. RNAcentral describes it as "partial contains 5.8S ribosomal RNA, internal transcribed spacer 2, and large subunit ribosomal RNA". The stretch from base 1 to 120 matches the Rfam family "5.8S ribosomal RNA", at positions 35 to 154 of the family's 154-position model. The record is from RNAcentral.
GAUGAAGAACGUAGUGAAAUGCGAUAAGUAAUGUGAAUUGCAGAAUUCAGUGAAUCAUCGAAUCUUUGAACGCACAUUGCGCCCGCCAGUAUUCUGGCGGGCAUGCCUGUUCGAGCGUCAUUACAACCCUCAGGCCCCCGGGCCUGGCGUUGGGGAUCGGCGGAAGCCCCCUGCGGGCACAACGCCGUCCCCCAAAUACAGUGGCGGUCCCGCCGCAGCUUCCAUUGCGUAGUAGCUAACACCUCGCAACUGGAGAGCGGCGCGGCCACGCCGUAAAACACCCAACUUCUGAAUGUUGACCUCGAAUCAGGUAGGAAUACCCGCUGAACUUAAGCAUACCAAUAAGCGGAGGA